CAUAACCCCGGGAAACUGGGGAUAAUACCCGAUAUGUGGGGAUGGCUGGAAUGCAUCCUCAUUGAAAUGCUCCGGCCCCUAAGGUGGGUUUGGCGGCUAAUUAGGUAUUUGGGGGGGUAAGUGCCCACUAACCUACUACUCUGUCCGGUUGGGGAAACCAAAACCCCGGAAAGGGAACUGAAAACCAGGUCCCGGGCCCUCCGGGGGACACAGGGCCCAAAACUUCCCCAUGGUGAGCAAUCCGAACAGGGAACACCCAGUGCCCACUCUUAAAUGUGGGGUUUUUCUGACCUGUAAAAAGUUUCAUGAAUAGGAGCUGGGCAAGACGGGGCCCGCCGCCCGCGGAAACCCCGGCAGCUCGAGUGGUGGCCGUUUUUAUGGGGUCUAAGGGGUCUGUACCCGGCCGGAUAAUUCUCUUGAAAAUCUGGGCACCUAACCUGUCAGGCUUUUCAGGAGAUACUGUCUGGGCUCGAGGCCGGGAGGAGGUUGAGAGGGUACUUUCAGGGGUAGGGGUGAAAUCUUGUAAUCCCUGGAGGGACCACCAGUGGCGAAGGGCGUCUCACCAGAACGGGACUGACGGCACGGACGAAAGCUAGGGGCACGACGGAUAGAUACCCGGGUAGUCUAGCGUAACGAUACUCGCUAGUGUCGCACGUGCGACGUGUCGUGCGUAGGCAGCGUGAGCGAGCACUGGGAGUACGUCGCAGCUGAACUAAAUGAUGCGGGGAGCACACACCGGUGGAGCUGCGUUAUGAUCACGCGAAUCUACGGACGACAGCAUAUGAGGCAGCUGAAGACUUGCUGAUAGCUGAAAGUGGUGCAU
RNAcentral lists this ribosomal RNA (823 nucleotides) under uncultured archaeon. RNAcentral describes it as "bacterial SSU rRNA". It matches the Rfam family "Archaeal small subunit ribosomal RNA", at positions 125 to 995 of the family's 1478-position model. The record is from RNAcentral.